This 568-nucleotide ribosomal RNA is filed under the name uncultured bacterium. Its description in RNAcentral is "bacterial SSU rRNA". It matches the Rfam family "Bacterial small subunit ribosomal RNA", at positions 338 to 916 of the family's 1533-position model. The record is from RNAcentral.
CCUACGGGAGGCAGCAGUGGGGAAUAUUGGACAAUGGGCGGAAGCCUGAUCCAGCAACGCCGCGUGAGGGAUGACGGCCUUCGGGUUGUAAACCUCUUUCGGUAGGGACGAAGCGCAAGUGACGGUACCUACUAAAGAAGCACCGGCCAACUACGUGCCAGCAGCCGCGGUAAUACGUAGGGUGCGAGCGUUGUCCGGAAUUAUUGGGCGUAAAGGGCUCGUAGGCGGUUUGUCGCGUCGGGAGUGAAAACCAGGUGCUUAACACCUGGCUUGCUUUCGAUACGGGCAGACUAGAGGUAUGCAGGGGAGAACGGAAUUCCUGGUGUAGCGGUGAAAUGCGCAGAUAUCAGGAGGAACACCGGUGGCGAAGGCGGUUCUCUGGGCAUGACCUGACGCUGAGGAGCGAAAGUGUGGGGAGCGAACAGGAUUAGAUACCCUGGUAGUCCACACCGUAAACGUUGGGCGCUAGGUGUGGGGUCCAUUCCACGGAUUCCGUGCCGCAGCUAACGCAUUAAGCGCCCCGCCUGGGGAGUACGGCCGCAAGGCUAAAACUUAAAGGAAUUGACGG